Molecule: long non-coding RNA, 952 nt
Organism: Homo sapiens (human)
Lineage: Eukaryota; Metazoa; Chordata; Mammalia; Primates; Hominidae
Gene: C1orf21-DT
Product: C1orf21 divergent transcript
Source: Ensembl
GCGUCCCGUCCGGCCUUCCCGGGCCUGUCACUUGGGCGGUGGCGUGGGAGCGGCGAGGCUGCUCGGGGGGCAGCCGGGUGGGCCCAGCUCUAGGGGAGAUUCGGGUCAGCCCCUGAGCCCAGCCUCCCGGCUGUGCCUGCUGGAAGCAGACGGAGGGAAGGCCGGGCGUCUUUGGCCCACCGCGCGGCCGCUCCCCUCCCGGGCCAGGCUGAACGGGCGGGCGCAGCCCAGAGGCCCGGGCUCUGCCACCGAUCCGCCUCCAUACUGACCCGAGCUGCGGCGCCUGCAAGAUUAAUGAAGCAUCCGCGAUUCGGUAGAGGCGGCACGGGGAGGAAAGACACAAGAUCGUGCUGCCCCCCUCUCCCCACCCUUCUCAGCCUCCUAGGACCUAAAGGCGUAGGCUGCGUCUGCUGGGCGCGUCCGGAGUGGUCCAGAGAGAUCGCCAUCCACCACUGCAUCCGUCCAGUUCUUUGUGGACCCUCACAGAAGCUCAAUCAAUUUCCCACCCUCUGGAAAAGGGUAUUUUUCUCUUCCCUGGCAUAUUGGGUGUUUCUUGUGUGCACCUAAUUGAUCUUUUUCCAUUGAUAGCCUUUGGAUGUCUUUUGUGCGGCUUCCCCGCGCUUCACUGCUCCCUCAUUGCCUUAGACACGCGAGGAAUGUCAGGCCCCCAGAGUGAGAACACCCAAGAAAACAAUAGGGGCAAAAGAUCCUCCCUGGGCCUCGCGGAUUAUGCACAAACCAGAUCAUUUCCCACAUUCGGCCAGGGUGAAGAUGGAAAAUGGAAAAGAACGCCAUCAGAGUGGUGACACUGACGAGAAAAGCCAAUUCAUAAUUUAGUUUAAUGAAAUGAGUUAGUAAUCAACCACUAAUGUCUAGGAAAUUGGCCUUUUUUGAAAACUGGUUUUCCCUUUCUCCACCCCUUUUUUUUUCAAAUUAAAAGACUAGUAUCCCA